AGCUAGAGGACACCCACGACCACCAUGGCACGGUUGGUCGGCAACAUGAGGGAAUCCGAAGGAAGAGAGAACAACACCGAGAUCUCUGAUCUUGUGUAAAGGGGUCUCCUUCUUCUGAAGCAGAGAGAUCGAGUGCAGUACAAGAAUAACGAAGUAUGUCUGCCUGUUAAAACCCUAAAAUUGCAGGCAUAAAGGCUCUCCGUGCUUCAUUUUCUCCUUCUCGGCCUCUUCGCUCGCUGGGUACACGGUCAUCUUCAAAACCUCUCGUUUCCUCUUUUCAUUCUUCUUAAUCGUCUGAUUGCUAAAGGUUGAGGAUGGGGUUUGGGGUUAACCUCUCUAUAAAGCGCCGAAGCCUUUUCUUUUCCCCCGACUUUCUCCUCUGUUCUUCCUCUGCUUCUCGCGACUUCGGACUUCACGCGACCGAGACCGGCGAUUUCUUCUUCUCUCGGUGGCGCCGGCGAAGAGCGGACCUUGGAGCGUUGAGAGGAAGAGAGGUUAGUUACAGCCGAACCUUCUUUCUCCCCGAUCCCUUCCUCCCUUCUCUGAUCUCGGUGAACAACGGCGACGGAUCUCGAUCGGUGGAUUUCGCCGGCUGUCGGGAGGGAACCAAGGGCAUCGGCGUUGGAUCAGGCCAGCAUCGAUUGUUUGGAGGAGGUGGUUCUUUCUGGGAAGCAGAGACUGGUAUUUUGGUCCCGGCCACCACAGCUCUGUUGGAUCGAUCUCUUCUUCGUAUCAGUGAUCGUCUCCGGUGAUUGAAGGGUGCAGAGAGGAUGCGAUGUGCUUAUUUUAGAUACUGGAUUGGGAAGUGCAGAGAAUCAAGCAAGGGUCAAGGAGUUGCUUCAUGUGGAGGAAUCAAAACUAGAGGAGGAUGAGGGAAAUACCACUCCAGCAGUGAGAUGGGUUCGAGAUGAUAAAUAUGAUUGCAUCCGAUUAAAGCAUUGCAAGGUGAGCUAUAUUCAUUGUGUAUCCCCCCUUCAGAGUACAUAUGUAUCUGUAUAGUAAUUAAUUUCAAUAUAGGCACAUCAAAUUACCUUAAUUGUUUCUAGACAUAGACUUAAUCCUUUGGAUUACUUUAUUUUAAUUGGUAGAGUAUUUGCCACUACCUUUCUAUUAUUCAUUCUUUUGCUUUGCAGGUUGUGAAAAAAUUGAUUGGCAUCGGAAAGGAGACUAUUUCACUACUGUCGUUCCUAGUGAUAUCCUAAUUAUGAAUUUUAGUUGUACUUAUUUUUAGUCAUUCCUAGUGCCUAUUUUAUAUCUCAGUUUUGUUUCUUUCUUUUUUCUAAUACACACUGACAAAUUGGAAAUAUAUAAAAAUCAUGACAUUAUACCUAGUUACCUAGCCUUUGAGGCUGGAAUCAGGAUGAAACCUAAAGUGCCCUGAAAAGUUUAGGCAUACCAAAUUCUCUCAGUUUAAUGACAGAGGUCAGUUGUGUUGCAAACUUUGUUAUUUUCCUUGUUUUUCAUUUACCGCGUCUAGAUUAAGAAACUAUGGCUUUCUAACUCAAAUAAAAAUUGCAAUUCCUGCCUAUCUUAGACCUAACAUUAACUUAUUAAUUGAACAGGUGUUUUAGAUUGUAAAUUUCAUCCGAGGCAGCCAUGGCUAUUCACAGCUGGAGCAGAUUCUGUCAUUAAACUGUAUUGCCACUAAUGAUAGAUUC
This is a long non-coding RNA of Zingiber officinale, 1658 nucleotides long. RefSeq lists it as uncharacterized. The transcript has 4 exons. NCBI's taxonomy places the organism in Eukaryota, Viridiplantae, Streptophyta, Magnoliopsida, Zingiberales, Zingiberaceae. The record is from RefSeq and is a predicted model, not a curated record.